CGCGGCCUAUCAGCUUGUUGGUGAGGUAACGGCUCACCAAGGCAUCGACGGGUAGCUGGUCUGAGAGGACGAUCAGCCACACUGGGACUGAGACACGGCCCAGACUCCUACGGGAGGCAGCAGCAGGGAAUAUUGCGCAAUGGGCGAAAGCCUGACGCAGCGACACCGCGUGAAGGAUGAAGGCCCUCGGGUUGUAAACUUCUUUCAGUGGGGAAGAAGCGAAAGUGACGGUACCUCCAGAAGAAGCCCCGGCCAACUACGUGCCAGCAGCCGCGGUAAUACGUAGGGGGCGAGCGUUGUCCGGAUUUAUUGGGCGUAAAGAGCUCGUAGGCGGCUCAACAAGUCGGCCGUGAAAGCCCGAGGCUUAACCUCGGGACGCCGGUCGAAACUGUUGUGGCUAGGGUCCGGUAGAGGAGAGUGGAAUUCCCGGUGUAGCGGUGAAAUGCGCAGAUAUCGGGAGGAACACCAGUAGCGAAGGCGGCUCUCUGGGCCGGCACCGACGCUGAGGAGCGAAAGCUAGGGGAGCAAACAGGAUUAGAUACCCUGGUAGUCCUAGCCGUAAACGAUGGGUACUAGGUGUGGCGGAUUCAUUGACAUCUGCCGUGCCGAAGCUAACGCAUUAAGUACCCCGCCUGGGGAGUACGG
This 645-nucleotide ribosomal RNA is filed under the name uncultured bacterium. RNAcentral describes it as "bacterial SSU rRNA". It matches the Rfam family "Bacterial small subunit ribosomal RNA", at positions 232 to 885 of the family's 1533-position model. The record is from RNAcentral.